GAUGAACGCUGGCGGCGUGCCUAAUACAUGCAAGUCGAGCGAACAGACGAGGAGCUUGCUCCUCUGACGUUAGCGGCGGACGGGUGCGUAACACGUGGAUAACCUACCUAUAAGACUGGGAUAACUUCGGGAAACCGGAGCUAAUGCCGGAUAAUAUAUUGAACCGCAUGGUUCAAUAGUGAAAGACGGUUUUGCUGUCACUUAUAGAUGGAUCCGCGCCGCAUUAGCUAGUUGGUAAGGUAACGGCUUACCAAGGCAACGAUGCGUAGCCGACCUGAGAGGGUGAUCGGCCACACUGGAACUGAGACACGGUCCAGACUCCUACGGGAGGCAGCAGUAGGGAAUCUUCCGCAAUGGGCGAAAGCUUGACGGAGCAACGCCGCGUGAGUGAUGAAGGUCUUCGGAUCGUAAAACUCUGUUAUUAGGGAAGAACAAAUGUGUAAGUAACUAUGCACGUCUUGACGGUACCUAAUCAGAAAGCCACGGCUAACUACGUG
This 497-nucleotide ribosomal RNA is filed under the name uncultured bacterium. Its description in RNAcentral is "partial 16S ribosomal RNA". It matches the Rfam family "Bacterial small subunit ribosomal RNA", at positions 28 to 507 of the family's 1533-position model. The record is from RNAcentral.